CCUACGGGCGGCAGCAGUCGAGAAUCAUUCACAAUGGGGGAAACCCUGAUGGUGCGACGCCGCGUGGGGGAAUGAAGGUCUUCGGUUUGUAAACCCCUGUCAUGUGGGAGCAAAUUAAAAAGAUAGUACCACAAGAGGAAGAGACGUCUAACUCUGUGCCAGCAGCCGCGGUAAUACAGAGGGCUCAAGCGUUGUUCGUAAUCACUGGGCGUACAGGGUGCGUAGGCUGUGUCUUAAGUCGGGUGUGAAAGGCUCGGGCUCAACCCACGGACGGCACAUGAUACUGGGAGACUAGAGUGCGGGAGGGGGAACCGGAAUUCUCGGUGUAGCAGUGAAAUGCGUAGAUAUCGAGAAGAACACUCGUGGCGAAGGCAGGUUUCUGGACAUUUACUGACGCGGAGGAACGAAGGCCAGGGGAGCGAAAGGGAUUAGAUACCCGGGUAGUC
Molecule: ribosomal RNA, 446 nt
Filed under: uncultured bacterium
Lineage: Bacteria
Description: partial 16S ribosomal RNA
Rfam family: Bacterial small subunit ribosomal RNA
Source: RNAcentral